UUUUUUUAACGAUGAAGAAAUAUUUGUAACCAACUAACUUGCCCUUAAGGCCUUUAAAAAACUUGUUAACGCCUUUUGUCUCGUCCAAUCACCUACAAAAUUUCACCACGUUUGUCAGAUGUUCAAUUUCGUGCUCCAUAAGUAAUUGACGUCGUGCCUGAUGAAGAGAUUUUGAAUCUCGAAACAUGUUGCACUGAUCUUAUAUUAAGAAUAAAUAAUUUUUCAUCGUU
Non-coding RNA from Onthophagus taurus, 230 nucleotides. The record is from RefSeq and is a predicted model, not a curated record. Lineage: Eukaryota; Metazoa; Arthropoda; Insecta; Coleoptera; Scarabaeidae.